AGAGUUUGAUCCUGGCUCAGGAUGAACGCUAGCGGCAGGCUUAACACAUGCAAGUCGAGGGGUAACGGGGAAGCUUGCUUCCGCCGACGACCGGCGCACGGGUGCGUAACGCGUAUACAAUCUACCUUGUACUGGGGUAUAGCCUUUAGAAAUGAAGAUUAACCCCCCAUAGUCUCUUAGAGUGGCAUCACUUCUAGAGUAAAGGUUACGGUAUAAGAUGAGUAUGCGUUCUAUUAGUUUGUUGGUGUGGUAACGGCACACCAAGACUACGAUAGGUAGGGGCCCUGAGAGGGGGAUCCCCCACACUGGUACUGAGACACGGACCAGACUCCUACGGGAGGCAGCAGUGAGGAAUAUUGGACAAUGGAGGCAACUCUGAUCCAGCCAUGCCGCGUGCAGGAAGACUGCCCUAUGGGUUGUAAACUGCUUUUAUACAGGAAGAAACACCUCUACGUGUAGAGGCUUGACGGUACUGUAAGAAUAAGGAUCGGCUAACUCCGUGCCAGCAGCCGCGGUAAUACGGAGGAUCCAAGCGUUAUCCGGAAUCAUUGGGUUUAAAGGGUCCGUAGGUGGAUAAUUAAGUCAGAGGUGAAAUCUUGCAGCUCAACUGUAAAAUUGCCUUUGAAACUGGUUAUCUUGAGUUAUUAUGAAGUAGUUAGAAUAUGUAGUGUAGCGGUGAAAUGCAUAGAUAUUACAUAGAAUACCAAUUGCGAAGGCAGAUUACUAAUAAUCAACUGACACUGAUGGACGAAAGCGUGGGUAGCGAACAGGAUUAGAUACCCUGGUAGUCCACGCCGUAAACGAUGGUUACUAGCUGUUUGGACUUCGGUCUGAGUGGCUAAGCGAAAGUGAUAAGUAACCCCACCUGGGGAGUACGUUCGCAAGAAUGAAACUCAAAGGAAUUGACGGGGGCCCGCACAAGCGGUGGAGCAUGUGGUUUAAUUCGAUGAUACGCGAGGAACCUUACCAGGGCUUAAAUGUAAGUUGCAUUAGUUAGAGAUAGCUAUUUCUUCGGACCACUUACAAGGUGCUGCAUGGUUGUCGUCAGCUCGUGCCGUGAGGUGUCAGGUUAAGUCCUAUAACGAGCGCAACCCCUGUUGUUAGUUGCCAGCGAGUCAUGUCGGGAACUCUAGCAAGACUGCCAGUGCAAACUGUGAGGAAGGUGGGGAUGACGUCAAAUCAUCACGGCCCUUACGUCCUGGGCUACACACGUGCUACAAUGGUAGGUACAGAGAGCAGCCACUGCGCGAGCAGGAGCGAAUCUAUAAAACCUAUCACAGUUCGGAUCGGAGUCUGCAACUCGACUCCGUGAAGCUGGAAUCGCUAGUAAUCGGAUAUCAGCCAUGAUCCGGUGAAUACGUUCCCGGGCCUUGUACACACCGCCCGUCAAGCCAUGGAAGUUGGAAGUGCCUGAAGUCCGUCACCGUAAGGAGCGGCCUAGGGUAAAGUCGAUAACUAGGGCUAAGUCGUAACAAGGUA
RNAcentral lists this ribosomal RNA (1479 nucleotides) under uncultured Flavobacteriia bacterium. RNAcentral describes it as "16S ribosomal RNA". It matches the Rfam family "Bacterial small subunit ribosomal RNA". The record is from RNAcentral. Lineage: Bacteria; Pseudomonadati; Bacteroidota; Flavobacteriia.